UGCCCCUCUGUUUCUCUUCUCCAUCGGAUCAUCCCCACCGUAAUGCAGUAGCUCACAGUUCUUCCAUUCCAAUUGCCAAGCUUUUGUUUAUACUGUUCUUCUCCUCUUCUAAACGCCUCUGCUCGCUCAGCCUCUUUUCUAACUUGGUUGCUCGGGAUUUAAAUCGGCAUUCGAAUUAAUCAGAUCAUUCCUUAAAUUGAUCUAUACUGAUCUCGAUGACCCGUAAGCGCAACACAAUUGUUGCAACUGGUUUACUAGCUUUUGCUGCUGCUGGAUUGGCAUUUCCCUUUUACAUGGCGUCAUCUAGGAGUAGGCCAGUGAUAGAUUCAUCAAAGCCACUGCCUCCACAAGCAACUUUCCGAGGGCCUUACAUAAAUACUGGUUCAAGAGACAUUGGACCUGACUCUCAGACAUACCCAAAGAAAUGAUGUGUUUUGCUAAAUGAAUGUUGUUGGGGGUAAGUAAACUACCGGUCUAUUUUUGUGAACUUUACAAUCACAUUUGCUCAAAUCAUCCACUUCUCUUUCUCUCUUUUUCUGGGUAUAAUUGUUAUGGUGAACUUCUUUUUAGCAGUCUGUACCAACUACCGAGAAUUUUACUUGACCAGUUAAAAGUGUAUGAGCCAUAGGUUGAGUUGGUGAUUUUUACUUCUCCCUUGUUUAUAUAUUCG
This 670-nucleotide unclassified non-coding RNA is filed under the name Hevea brasiliensis (rubber tree). The record is from RNAcentral. Lineage: Eukaryota; Viridiplantae; Streptophyta; Magnoliopsida; Malpighiales; Euphorbiaceae.